RNAcentral lists this long non-coding RNA (213 nucleotides) under Elaeis guineensis (African oil palm). Its description in RNAcentral is "long non-coding RNA (EGUI_LNC034555)". The record is from RNAcentral. Lineage: Eukaryota; Viridiplantae; Streptophyta; Magnoliopsida; Arecales; Arecaceae.
UGGUUGAUAGGAUAUGUUUAAAUGACAUUGAUAAUUGCUGUCAUAUUUGUAGUUGCAGCAUGUAAUUUGUUGAGUAUAAAUCUUUUAAGAUAAUAUAUAUGAUUGUUAAAUAAUGUUGAUAGUUGAUAUUGCAUAAUUUAUUAUUUUUGCAAUUAAUUUUCUUUUUAUCAAGAACUCGUUAUAUCAUGUAUGCUAAAACUUCAAGUUGGUUUG